RNAcentral lists this ribosomal RNA (870 nucleotides) under Paragyromitra infula. RNAcentral's name for it is "Gyromitra infula partial large subunit ribosomal RNA". It matches the Rfam family "Eukaryotic large subunit ribosomal RNA", at positions 71 to 954 of the family's 3401-position model. Lineage: Eukaryota; Fungi; Ascomycota; Pezizomycetes; Pezizales; Discinaceae. The record is from RNAcentral.
GGGAUUGCCUCAGUAACGGCGAGUGAAGCGGCAACAGCUCAAAUUUUAAAGCUGGCGUCUUCGACGCCCGCGUUGUAAUUUGGAGAGGCAUCUUCGGUUUGGGCGCCAGCCUAUGUUCCUUGGAACAGGACGUCACAGAGGGUGAGAAUCCCGUGCUUGGCUGGCUGUCCCUUGCCAUGUGAAGUGCCUUCGACGAGUCGAGUUGUUUGGGAAUGCAGCUCAAAAUGGGUGGUAAAUUCCAUCUAAAGCUAAAUAUUGGCGGGAGACCGAUAGCGCACAAGUAGAGUGAUCGAAAGAUGAAAAGCACUUUGAAAAUAGAGUUAAAAAGUACGUGAAAUUGUUGAAAGGGAAGCGCUUGAGACCAGACUCGGCCGGAGAUGAUCAGCCGUCCUUCUGGGCGGUGCACUUGUCUCCGGUCGGGCCAGCAUCGGUUGAGACGGCGGGAUAAAGGCCCGGGGAAUGUGGCUCCUUUCGGGGAGUGUUAUAGCCCCGGACGCAAUGCCGCCAGCCUCGACCGAGGACCGCGCUUUUUGCUAGGAUGCUGGCGUAAUGGUCUUCAGCGACCCGUCUUGAAACACGGACCAAGGAGUCUAACAUCUAUGCGAGUGUUUGGGUGUCAAACCCUUGCGCGUAAUGAAAGUGAACGGAGGUGGGAACCCCCUCGCGGGGCGCACCAUCGACCGGUCCUGAUGUCUUCGGAUGGAUCUGAGUAGGAGCAUAGCUGUUGGGACCCGAAAGAUGGUGAACUAUGCCUGAAUAGGGUGAAGCCAGAGGAAACUCUGGUGGAGGCUCGCAGCGGUUCUGACGUGCAAAUCGAUCGUCAAAUUUGGGUAUAGGGGCGAAAGACUAAUCGAACCAUCUAGUAGCUGG